Molecule: long non-coding RNA, 3797 nt
Organism: Bombyx mori (domestic silkworm)
Lineage: Eukaryota; Metazoa; Arthropoda; Insecta; Lepidoptera; Bombycidae
Exons: 3
Source: RefSeq, a predicted model, not a curated record
AUACAAAACAAAACCUACACAAAAUAUUAUGCUGAUUUCUGUAGCAAAUUGUAGUUACUUCGAAGGCCUCAAAGAUUUUUACUGUGAAAAAAUCGCAAUCCUUACUAGUUUUGUUUAAAUUAGUUUUACAUUGUCAAGACUUCAGAAACACAAAGAGUAUUUUAAGAUGAUACAUACUGAGUGGUCAUCAUAAAAAAAUUAUCUGUCAUGGAAAACUGCUGAUAACUGACUUAAAAAAAAUAUUGAAAUUCCCAAUUCCAUUUUUUUAAUGCUACCUAAGAACUCUACGAUUGAUAAACGGAUUCUGGCAUUUAUAAAAAUUACUAAUGGUAUACUUUCAAAUUAAUGUCUUUAGAAAAUUGAUAAAAGUCAAUUCAGUUAUUAACUUCUAAAUAAAUUUAAAAAAAUAGCCAAUGUAUUAUUUGUAUCAACAAAUUUGAAUUGAAUUUUCUAUCUUCACAUUUGUUAGCGUUAUACGUUUCCUUUACUUUUUUAUCUCUUACUUGAAUUUGAUUUAUGAAUCUAGAUCCUUGCUUCUCUUAUGUUCCUAUUUAAAUAUAUUUUUCAAUAUUUGAGCAAAAAUUGUAGUGUAUAUACUUGUACUACUUAUAUACUUUGUGGUAUCAUUACAUUUACAUAUAGCUUUCUCAUGAUUAUGUUAUUAAGCUAAGUUGGUUUUAUUGAUUUAAAUAUAUGCUAGUUUCUUUUGUGCUUCCAAACAUUACAGUUUAUCAAUAUUUCAAUGUAAUACUUUUAAUCUUUUUUAUCAUUUAUAGAUUGUAGGCAAUUACCCUGUAGGUGCUGAUGUAUUUUUGAUUCAUUGCCUAUGCAUUAUACAUUAAAUAAAAUAGAUAAUAUGUUAUCUGUUUCAUAUACUCUGAUAAGAUUCUGUCAGAAUCAGGUGCAAGUUUUAUGCAAAAUAUUAGAAUAUGUACAUAUAUUUACGUCAGUCGUAUGUAGACUAUGACUCAAAUAUCUGCAUCAUCAAGUCAACAAGAUAUUUAUUGGACGUCAGCAAAAUGAAACCGCUCAAACUGAAGAGAAAAUUUACAGUAAAAUCGACAUUCGUCACCAAAAAAAACAACACAAUGUUGAAAAAGAUCACGAAGUACUCAAUUGACAUUUGGAGGAUUCAAUCAUUUUGGACACAUUCCUGACUACGCACCGUCUGGCAAGCAUUUUUCUAAUAAUAGAACAUACCACGACGUUAAAAAGACAUCCAAAUAUAGCCAGUCAACGAGCAAUCUAUACAACGACACUUCGUUCCGUUCACUACCAAAUGCCAAACCAAACAGCCAACGAGUAAGGAUGACGGAACAGAAAGACUACGAUGGCGACGAACGACCUUCAUUCGUUUGUUAAAUAUUAUCGAUGAUGUCGUCAUCGACUACUUAAAAAUUUUAAUUAUUUAUGAUUUAAUUGUGCAUUAAAAAAAAUGCUAUUACAACUGGAAUACGUUCCAUUUUAUACUUAGUUUGACUGUUAUUUUCCAAAUCCCAAAAUAUUUUAAAUGACGACGCAAUGACAUUCUCCUCUGUACACUCAUCAGUCAUUAUUGUCAAGCUGUUAAAUUGAUAUUAAUUAAAACUUUUUUUAAUUAAUUAAAUGUGCCCUUCGCAUUUAACCCAAUAUUUAUGGUCUGUAAUAUAACAAAAAAAACAAAAACGAUUCUUUAAAAAUUAACUGUUAUUUAAAAUGAAACUUGCGCCAUCUAGUGUAGAAAUAGACAUUUUAGAAUGCCAUCUAGUGUCAUCUUCUUAUAUUUCUAGUUUAAAUUUUGCUAUGGGCUACAAGAUGUCUUACAGCAGAGCAUUUUUUGAGCAAAAUUUUGAAACAUUUUGUGAUGUUUGCUAUCAGUGUUAAACUAUGAUGUGUGUAUUAUGGAGGGUAGAGGUGAGGAGAAGCGUCUUUGUGUGUGACAGUGUCCGUUAAAAUCAGCUAUAUAAGGGUGGCGCUACAGUAGCAACCGGUUAAAUUUAAAAAAAGGCGCUGAAAGUUAUUACAAUAAGAUAGAGAAAUGAAAAAAGGACGAAAGAACUGUAAGCACUACAAAAUCACAAAAAGUAUUUUAUUUAGCUGAUGAGAAAAUGCAAUCGAUGUCUCCACGUUUUACCAUAGCAAUAAUUUUAGGUUAUAUUGACGAAAUUCGUUUGGACUACGUAAACAUCAUCAAAUCCACAUCCUAGUAGUUAGGGGAUAACUAUUCCACCACCAAGCUAGUCAGAGCGCAGCGGGACCUCCCCAUAUGCUGAUUUUCUGAGACUGACGAGGAAGGAACCCAAUAAGAUAACUUCUACACGCGUCUUGCUAAGUAACCAGAUGACCGCACUCUUUCCCAUCCAUCCUGGCUUCUGCUCAGCGAAGUUUCCCGGGGACUGGAGCCAACGGUGUCGUCUAGGCGGGUUUUGGGUUGAGUGUCUUUUAACCGAGAGGCUCUGUGGUCAUGGCGCCAAUUUUCGCCAGUCCGACGAUACGUGGAUUAGAGACUCCGUUGCUCAUGCUUUGCCUACCGUCUCCAACCGACUCAAAAAAGAGUAUAUCGGAGCUCGCAUGAGUAGGUUUCACUAUACUGCCAUUUUUAUGCCACGAAGAAAUUGUUGUGCAUUCCAGUUUGAAAAUGAAAUAUUCUCCAUAGGACAGUUGUUUGCGUUAGUAAAAUAUUUUACCAUUGGAAAAAAUGAUGAUUUGCUGGAAUCGAGAAAUAUUUGAGUGCGUUUAAAAAUAUUUAAUUAACGAUUCAAACACAACGGCAUCAAACAGAUUUCUACACACAAUCCGUCGACGCUUGCAAAAAAAACCUGAAAUCCUCUUGAAAAUUCUAUGCAACAGUAAUGACGAAUUCAAGUAAAGACGAAAGGUCACUAAUUGAAUCGAUUUACUAGUCUGCACUCUGCGCAUAGACUUGCACAAAAUAAUAUACAUAAACUAUGCGCCUUGGGUGAGCACCCACCUAGCCACCUGUAUCACUGGCCACUCACACUGACUUGCAAGCCGCAGUUUACGUUCGACUUUCAAACGCGUUCGUUGCGCGCGAAACAGCUGUCAGAAAUUGGCGCCAAUUUCGAUAUUUGAUAACAAUUUUUAUUUUGUUUACUUAGUAUCAUUUUGUUGUGAACCAAAAAAAAACAAUGUGUGCGAGAUAAUGUUUUGUUUAGUAAAUUUUAAUAUUCAAUAUUAGUAAUGCGAGUGUUUUCAGUGUAAUAGUGGUUACUAAUAGUGAAAGUGUUAAAGGAUUUAUUUAUUUAGUCAAAAUGAAGCGGUUUUUAUUGGGUGGAUUUUUAUUUCUGUCUGUUUUGGUUGGUGAGUGAAGAAUUAAAUGGUUAUUUAUUAAAUUAGUUGUAUCAAUAAAGUGAUCACCAAUGGAAAACAUCGACGAAUUGUAAUAUUAUUUAUUAUGUCACCUCAAUUUUAGGUACAAAUGACAGAGCAAUGUUGACAACAUCUUGAAAUUAAAAUUAAGAAUAAUUUAAUAACAACUCAACGAAUUUUUUUUAAAAUAUAUUAAGUACAUAAUAGUAGAAUGUCAUAUUAAUAAUAAUAUGACAUUCAUACAUAGUAACAAAAAAAAAAGUUAUUGAGAGAAAAAAUAAUAAGUAAAAUUUAAGUAAAUUUGUUUGAAAUAAUUAUGAUAAAAAUAAUGUUUAGUAUUAAAACUGCUCUCUAUAAUUCUAAAACAAAUUCAGUCUAGGAUUAAAUACUAAAUUAUUUGCAAUCAAAUCCUUGAAAUAAUUAUUCAUAUUCACACCACAAACGAAGGUCGUCGGAUGUUGACGAACAAAGCUAAUGCAUACCAAAAA